RNAcentral lists this long non-coding RNA (2415 nucleotides) under Felis catus (domestic cat). RNAcentral's name for it is "lncRNA (ENSFCAG00000047579.1)". Lineage: Eukaryota; Metazoa; Chordata; Mammalia; Carnivora; Felidae. The record is from RNAcentral.
UGGUGUGGCUAUUCGGGAGCCCACGUGGUUGGCAUAGGUGCCCUUGUGCCUUGGUGGGGCUCCUUGAAGACCUCACACAAUACUUGAAAUUGCAUAUUGCGCACAAUCUUGUUCUUACACAGCGGAAGACCCUCAUCCUGUUGCUCACUCCAUGGCUCUAUAAAAGCAAUUUUUUUCACUCCCCGGCUUUGCAGGAGCCAGGUGUGCAUUCCAUAAUAUGCCUAUUAUAUAGCCAUUCACAGUAGCCAUUGCUUAUACAAGGACACUUCUGAUUUGUCCUAUUGCAUGGUUGCCAAGGACUUCAGUCCCCACCCAGUACAACUUCAGGUAUGCAUUUCACAUAUAUUUUCAGGCAAAAGAAAAAGAAAAAAAGAAAAAAAAGCAUUCCUCUCCCGCCCCGCCCCGUCCCGUCCCCCCAUGCCUCUUUGUUUUAAGACACACAAAAGUAACUGGCAGUUUUCUUCCCCCAAACCUAUGUGCCUGCAGCGCGGGGGCCCUAAAAAAGGAACCCUGUUUCCCUCCACCCAGGUUUCUGGUUUCUCCACCCUGUCUCCCCACAGUCCUUCACUCCCUGCACCCUGUUCUUCCGGCCUCCACCCAGACUGGAGAAGUGGCCCGACAUUCCAGGUAACCUGAUUCCCCAGACAGGAGAGGCGGGGGCCUGAUGCUGGGAAGGCGCGGCCACGUGACCUUUUCUGCCCGCCAAGGGAAAUGCAUACCUUACUCCGAAAACUAGGGGACAGCUCUCUUAAGGAAGGUCAUGGAUUUCCUAACAUGUAUCUGACGAUUACACAUCUCUGUUUAAAAGAAGACAGACAUCUGCAGAAGACACGAGCUUUAAAGGUGAUUUCAAGCUGUAUUAUUGCUUCCUCUCAGUUCCUGCUUGUGCUAAUGAUUGGGGCUUUUGAUAAGCUGCAUCAUCCUUCCUAUAUCUAUAAUGUUAGGCCUUUGGCAUUUAUGGAGAGAACGUUGCCUGUUUCAUCUAUUCACGAGGUGUCCUUAAAAGCCCGUGAUAUGUAUAAUUUGUGUCUCCAUCAGUCCCAGGUCUCUGAAAUUUUGUCUUGUGUGUGGGAGCAAGCUCCUUAUGCAGUGAAUGAACUGCCCACCUACCUCAGUGUGAUUCUGUUGUUCUUCACAGAUCUCAGUUGAUACAGUCCAUGACGCUUGUCAACUGCUCAACAUUUUGUUCCUUGUGAGAAAAUGGAUCCGUAGAGGAAGUCAUAGUUUGAUGGAAAUGAUAAGUAAAGUUUUAAGGAAAUGAAAGUUCUUUUUUUUUUUUUAAGUUUAUUUAUUUGAGAGAGAGAGAAAGAGAGAGAGUGGGGGAGGGGCAGAGAGAGGGAGAGAGAGAGAAUCCCGAACAGGCUCCACACUGUCAGUGCAGAGCCUGAUGCUGGGCUCAACUCGCAAACCAUGAGAUCAAGACCUGAGCUGAAAUCAAGAGUUGGACGCUUGGCCGACUGAGCCACCCAGGCACCCCAGGAAAUGAAAGUUGUUAGCCAGGAAGUAUUUUCACAGAAUUUGUAGUCCUAUAUUUUUAACUUCAUUAACUUAUUAAGAAGCCAAAAGAGUUACUUAGACUUCUCAAAUGUGCUUUCCUACAUGUCAUGAUGGAUGUUAAAUGCUAUAGUGAUAUUUGAGAAUUUGAGGGCUGCCUCAGUUGCUCAGUGGGUUGAAUGUCCAACUCAUGAUCCCCAGGGUUGUGGGAUUGAGCCCUUCAUCAAGCUCUGUGCUGAGCAUGCAGCCUGCUUGUUUAUUCUCUCUCUCUCUCUCUCCCUCAACCUCUCUCCACUGCUCUUGUGUGCUCUUUAUUUCUCUCUCUAAAAUUAAAAAAAAAAAAGAAUGAGAGAAUUUGUAUGUUAAAACCUUUUUGGGGUCAUGGAUUUGGUUUUUCAUUUUUGCUAUGCUUAAGAUAUCCUGGAAAAUAUUUUCUAGAUUAUCACGCUGUUAAAGUUAUUUUUUAUUACUUGUUUGGGGACAAGCGCUGACAUAGGCCCAUAACAUUUAAAUGAACGGUAUUGAGAUGAAUGACACAAACAAUAGAUUCAUAGCAUCGCUAAGCCAUGGAGCAGCUACAUAGAUAAAUGGAUAAGCCUUGAUUAGAAAAACGUAGAAAUUAAAAAGCAUUCGGAGGCAAUUAUUCAUAUUGCAAAAGAAUUCCUCUCUGUAAGAGAGGGUUGGCUACAGGUUAUGCGUCAGGUAUGGGUGGUGUUUCUUUGGUUCUUUAAUUGAGGUUGUUCUGCCAGUUAAGUACAGACCACUCCCAAGCAUCUUCUUCCUUUCCACCCCCAUACCCGCCUCCUCUUUUCUUUUGGACUCCUUUCUUCCAAUUCAAUUAUUCCAAAGCCAGCAUAACAAGUGGGUGCGGAGGAGGAAGGAACUAAAAAUGUAAUAAAAGUCUUCACUGUUUUAUGUACA